Centropristis striata (black sea bass) is the source of this 1139-nucleotide long non-coding RNA. RefSeq lists it as uncharacterized. The record is from RefSeq and is a predicted model, not a curated record. NCBI's taxonomy places the organism in Eukaryota, Metazoa, Chordata, Actinopteri, Perciformes, Serranidae. The transcript is spliced from 2 exons.
AGGGAAGCGAGGAGAGGGGAAACGAUUUAAGAGACAUGAGACGUCCUUCCCUCCGAAGCGUCACGUGAAGCGACGUCCGUUUCUAAUGACGGCGGCAGCGGAUCACAGCUGGAUCAGCUGUCAGUCGCUUUAACAGCUGGAGACAUGCACUGAUACGGAAGCGUAUUGCUGCCACCCUUAUAAAAAAAAUAUCCUCCAUUUAUCUCGUUAUAACGAGAUACUAUCACGUUAUUUCGAGAUAAUGAUAGUUUCUCGUUAUAACGAGAUAAUGAAAGUUUCUCGUUAUAACGAGAUACUAUCACGUUAUAAUAUAAUAACGAAACGACAAGCAAGAAUAGGCUAUGGCUCAUUUGGACGAUUUAAUUAAGUUCUAUUUUUGAGUUACUUUUUGAGAAGACAUCAUGCCCAAUACUGGAUGAAUCGUUUCCAGGAGAUGAAGACAAAGACUUAUUCUCUGGAGACUUCUUGGACAAGCAGCUGAUAUUAUUUAGUUGCCUUGCCAUCAUCCAGGAAGAACUGCAGCAAGUUGCACAUUUGUGGAAUACCCAUGUCAUCCGCAAGACAAGAAAUGCAGUAGCUCCAAAUGGACGUCUGAUUCUCAUGUACACCAUCCCUCAUCUAUUUGGAGGACAAGAUCACCUGAAAGAGGUCUCUCAGGAAGCAGCGGAGGCUUGUAAACAAGAAUGCCAAAGGAGAGGACCUUACCCUUGUGAUGAAACAGUGUUUAAUAUGCGUUGCCUUAUAAUGACAGAGAACUUCUUACACUCACCCACCACAGCAGAUGAAGCAUGCAUUCAAAAAGAUUUAGAAAUUACACCAUGAUGUCUGGAGAAUUAAGGCAGGACUAUAUUGUGAACUGUUGAUCUGGUUAGUUUUGAACAUUUGAACAAAGGGGAUAGUAUGCAAGAAUAAUACUUCUUUUUUUUUCUUUUUUACCAAGUUAUGUAUGUACAAUAAUUCAGUGUGGUUAUGUUUCUCAGUACCAUGUGAUUUGUGCUUUGGAGGUGGGGGCUCUUUAUUCUGCUUUCUUCCUUGUACCUCUUAAUUUGUUUUUACAGAAUAAGACAACUUUAAACAUGACACUACAUAAACUGUGUGUUUCCCAACAUUAAAGUGCAAUAAAAUCAAUGAUAUAAUGA